UCCCUGGGGGUCCAGUGGGUAGGAUUCCGCGCUCCCAACGCAGGGGGCCUGGGUUUGAUCCCUGGUCAGGGAA
This 73-nucleotide transfer RNA is filed under the name Bos taurus (domestic cattle). It matches the Rfam family "tRNA". Rfam says of the family: Transfer RNA (tRNA) molecules are approximately 80 nucleotides in length. Their secondary structure includes four short double-helical elements and three loops (D, anti-codon, and T loops). RNAcentral also lists the same sequence under 3 other names. Lineage: Eukaryota; Metazoa; Chordata; Mammalia; Artiodactyla; Bovidae. The record is from Rfam by way of RNAcentral.